This is a long non-coding RNA of Leucoraja erinaceus (little skate), 96 nucleotides long. RefSeq lists it as uncharacterized. NCBI's taxonomy places the organism in Eukaryota, Metazoa, Chordata, Chondrichthyes, Rajiformes, Rajidae. The record is from RefSeq and is a predicted model, not a curated record. The transcript is spliced from 3 exons.
GAAAUGAAGAAAAGGAAUGACAUUUUCAAUAUUGACGAAGAUUUAGAUAACCUGGGAGUCAAAGAUGAUGAAAACCUACGGAUCACGCUGAGUAAA